ACUCCUACGGGAGGCAGCAGUGGGGAAUAUUGCACAAUGGGGGAAACCCUGAUGCAGCCAUGCCGCGUGUGUGAAGAAGGCCUUGGGUUGUAAAGCACUUUCAGUAGGGAGGAAGGUAGUGUAGUUAACACCUGCAUUAUUUGUACGUUACCUACAGAAGAAGCACCGGCUAACUCCGUGCCAGCAGCCGCGGUAAGUACGGAGGGUGCGAGCGUUAAUCGGAAUUACGUGGGCGUAAAGCGCAUGCAGGCGGCCUGUUAAGUCAGAUGUGAAAGCCCGGGGCUUAACCUCGGAAUUGCAUUUGAAACUGGCGAGGCUAGAGUCUUGGUAGAGGGGGUUAGAAGUUUCAGGUGUAGCGGUGAAAUGCGUAG
This 371-nucleotide ribosomal RNA is filed under the name uncultured bacterium. RNAcentral describes it as "bacterial SSU rRNA". It matches the Rfam family "Bacterial small subunit ribosomal RNA", at positions 335 to 693 of the family's 1533-position model. The record is from RNAcentral.